GCAAGUCGAGGGGCAGCACGAGUAGCAAUACUUGGUGGCGACCGGCGGACGGGUGAGUAACGCGUAUGCAACCUACCUAUAACAGGGGAAUAAUUCGAAGAAAUUUGAUCUAAUACCCCGUAAUACUUUAGAAGACAUCUUUUAAGGUUGAAAGAUUUAUCGGUUAUAGAUGGGCAUGCGUGACAUUAGUUAGAUGGUGAGGUAACGGCUCACCAUGGCAGCGAUGUCUAGGGGUCCUGAGAGGGUGAUC
This 250-nucleotide ribosomal RNA is filed under the name uncultured bacterium. RNAcentral describes it as "partial 16S ribosomal RNA". It matches the Rfam family "Bacterial small subunit ribosomal RNA", at positions 57 to 305 of the family's 1533-position model. The record is from RNAcentral.